Molecule: ribosomal RNA, 506 nt
Filed under: Plectus minimus
Lineage: Eukaryota; Metazoa; Nematoda; Chromadorea; Plectida; Plectidae
Description: SSU rRNA
Rfam family: Eukaryotic small subunit ribosomal RNA
Source: RNAcentral
CGCGAAUGGCUCAUUACAACAGCCACUGUUUACUUGACCUUGACUAUCCUACUUGGAUAACUGUGGUAAUUCUAGGGCUAAUACACGCAAUAAAGCUCCGACCUUACGGGACGAGCGCAUUUAUUAGACCAAAACCAAUCGGGCUUCGGCCUGAGCCGUUGGUGACUCUGAAUGACUGAGCUGAUCGCAUGGUCUUUGUACCGGCGACGCAUCUUUCAAGUGUCUGCCUUAUCAACUUUCGAUGGUAGUUUAUGUGCCUACCAUGGUUGUUACGGGUAACGGAGAAUAAGGGUUCGACUCCGGAGAGGGGGCCUGAGAAACGGCUACCACAUCCAAGGAAGGCAGCAGGCGCGCAAAUUACCCACUCUCGGCACGAGGAGGUAGUGACGAAAAAUAACGAGGCGGUUCUCUAUGAGGCCCGCUAUCGGAAUGGGUACAAUUUAAACCCUUUAACGAGGACCUAUGAGAGGGCAAGUCUGGUGCCAGCAGCCGCGGUAAUUCCAGCU